CCUCGUCCCAUUCCCUCAUUGUAGCAACCCCAGUAACUAGGAUGAUAGGUAACAUAAUACCAAGCUGAGGCUUUUGCAUAUACAUCAUCAGCUUCAGAAUCCACUCCACUUCCCUUUUCAUUAAACCAGGACCUAGCUUCUUUCCUCAAGGACCUCACAGCCAUUCCAAUUGCUUCUGCAUCCCUUCUCUUGGUGAAAGAUUUUGACAUUUUCAUAAUAUUUCCACUGAGAAUUUCAGCCUCAGUUCUGAUGCCAUAAUAGUCCAUAUGAUUGCCCAACUUAAAGUCAUAACUGCUUUUGUAAUAAAAGGCAUCAUCUAUGUAAUCCUCAAAGCCAUCAACUUCCAUAUCAGAGUCAUAACACUGCUCCGCCACUUCCUUAGUAAAGGACUUGAUAGAACUUGCAUGCGGUGCAAUGUCUCUCACUUCCCGAAAAAGCUUGCCAAUCACAUUCUGAGAU
Molecule: unclassified non-coding RNA, 459 nt
Filed under: Hevea brasiliensis (rubber tree)
Lineage: Eukaryota; Viridiplantae; Streptophyta; Magnoliopsida; Malpighiales; Euphorbiaceae
Source: RNAcentral